ACCUGACUGCUAUCGGAUUGAUACUAAGCCAUGCGAGUCAUUGUAGCAAUACAAGGCAGACGGCUCAGUAACACGUAGUCAAUCUAACCUAUGGACGGGGAUAACCUCGGGAAACUGAGAAUAAUACCCGAUAGGCCACCAUGCCUGGAAUGGUUUGUGGCCCAAAUGAUUUAUCGCCGUAGGAUGGGACUGCGGUCUAUCAGCUUGUUGGUGAGGUAAUGGCCCACCAAGGCUAUAACAGAUACGGGCUCUGAGAGGAGAGGCCCGGAGAUGGGUACUGAGACACGGACCCAGGCCCUAUGGGGCGCAGCAGGCGAGAAAACUUUGCAAUGUGCGAAAGCACGACAAGGUUAAUCCGAGUGUUUUCUGCUAAAGAAAUCUUUUACCGGUCUUAAAACCACCGGCGAAUAAGGGGUGGGCAAGUUCUGGUGUCAGCCGCCGCGGUAAAACCAGCACCUCAAGUGGUCAGGAGGAUUAUUGGACCUAAAGCAUCCGUAGCCUGCCGUGUAAGUUUUCGGUUAAAUCUAUGCGCUCAACGCAUAGGCUGCCGGAAAUACUGCACGGCUAGGGAGUGGGAGAGGUAGACGGUACUCGGUAGGAAGGGGUAAAAUCCUCUGAUCUAUCGAUGACCCCCUGUGGCGAAGGCGGUCUACUAGAACACGUCCGACGGUGAGGGAUGAAAGCUGGGGGAGCAAACCGGAUUAGAUACCCGGGUAGUCCCAGCUGUAAACAAUGCAAACUCAGUGAUGCAUUGGCGUAAGAGCCAGUGCAGUGCCGCAGGGAAGCCGUUAAGUUUGCCGCCUGGGAAGUACGUACGCAAGUAUGAAACUUAAAGGAAUUGGCGGGGGAGCACCACAAGGGGUGAAGCCUGCGGUUC
RNAcentral lists this ribosomal RNA (877 nucleotides) under uncultured Nitrososphaerota archaeon. RNAcentral describes it as "bacterial SSU rRNA". It matches the Rfam family "Archaeal small subunit ribosomal RNA", at positions 21 to 903 of the family's 1478-position model. The record is from RNAcentral. Lineage: Archaea; Thermoproteati; Nitrososphaerota.